Molecule: unclassified non-coding RNA, 304 nt
Filed under: plant metagenome
Description: partial contains 5.8S ribosomal RNA, internal transcribed spacer 2, and large subunit ribosomal RNA
Rfam family: 5.8S ribosomal RNA (bases 1-105)
Source: RNAcentral
GAAAUGCGAUAAGUAAUGUGAAUUGCAGAAUUCAGUGAAUCAUCGAAUCUUUGAACGCACAUUGCGCCCGCCAGUAUUCUGGCGGGCAUGCCUGUUCGAGCGUCAUUUCAACCAUCAAGCCCCGCGCUUGUGUUGGGGACCUGCGGCUGCCGCAGGCCCUGAAAACCAGUGGCGGGCUCGCUGUCACACCGGGCGUAGUAGAUUUUAUCUCGCUCAGGGCGUGCUGCGGGUUCCGGCCGUUAAAAAGCCUUACAAAACCCAAGGUUGACCUCGGAUCAGGUAGGAAGACCCGCUGAACUUAAGC